GUCCAGGGAUGGGAAUCGAACCCACAGUGUUCCGAUUACCAGGCAGAUGCCAUGUCCACUAGGCUACCCUGGA
This 73-nucleotide transfer RNA is filed under the name Cordylochernes scorpioides. RNAcentral describes it as "tRNA-Thr". Lineage: Eukaryota; Metazoa; Arthropoda; Arachnida; Pseudoscorpiones; Chernetidae. The record is from RNAcentral.